RNAcentral lists this ribosomal RNA (460 nucleotides) under uncultured bacterium. RNAcentral describes it as "partial 16S ribosomal RNA". It matches the Rfam family "Bacterial small subunit ribosomal RNA", at positions 338 to 795 of the family's 1533-position model. The record is from RNAcentral.
CCUACGGGGGGCAGCAGUGAGGAAUAUUGGUCAAUGGGCGCGAGCCUGAACCAGCCAAGUAGCGUGAAGGAUGACUGCCCUACGGUUUGUAAACUUCUUUUAUAAAGGAAUAAAGUGAGGCACGUGUGCCUUUUUGUAUGUACUUUAUGAAUAAGGAUCGGCUAACUCCGUGCCAUCAGCCGCGGUAAUACGGAGGAUUCGAUCGUUAUCCGGAUUUAUUGGGUUUAAAGGGAGCGUAGAUGGGUUGUUAAGUCAGUUGUGAAAGUUUGCGGCUCAACCGUAAAAUUGCAAUUGAGACUGGCAGUCUUGAGGACAGUUGAGGUAGGCGGAAUUCGUGGUGUAGCGGUGAAAUGCUUAGAUAUCACGAAGAACCCCGAUUGCGAAGGCAGCUUACUAAACUGUGACUGACAUUGAUGCGCGAAAGUGUGGGUAUCAAACAGGAUUAGAUACCCGUGUAGUC